CUCUACCAGCUGAGCUGUUGUGCAGAGGCACAUCCAAAUAUAGUCACAUCCAGGAAUGACCCCACGCUGGAGCAGACAGUGCUGUUUUGGGACUGACAGAGUCAUCUUCAGGCUUCCCAGGUGGCACAAGUGAUACUUAAUUUCAAUUCAUUAACUGCACACUGUGACAUGAUAGAGAAAAGGCUCAGGAGCAACAUCCAUUUAACUUCAUCAUCAAGAACAGUCACAAGACCAUUUAUAACUUCUGCUACUGAGAUGUUACUUGCUAAUAGUUUUCUGGAAUCAUACCAAUGUCAGCCUCUAGAAUUAAAAUGUAAAUAAACUUUC
Molecule: long non-coding RNA, 327 nt
Organism: Bubalus bubalis (water buffalo)
Lineage: Eukaryota; Metazoa; Chordata; Mammalia; Artiodactyla; Bovidae
Exons: 2
Source: RefSeq, a predicted model, not a curated record